AUGUUCACUUCAGCAGCACAAAUAGUAAAGGUGCAACUAUAGAGAAGGUUUAGCAUGGCCCCUGGGCAAGGAUAGUAUGCAAAUUUGUGACACAUUCCAUAUAUUU
Molecule: small nuclear RNA, 106 nt
Organism: Otolemur garnettii (small-eared galago)
Lineage: Eukaryota; Metazoa; Chordata; Mammalia; Primates; Galagidae
Source: Ensembl